GAUGAACGCUGGCGGCGUGCCUAAUACAUGCAAGUCGAGCGAACGGACGAGAAGCUUGCUUGUCUGAUGUUAGCGGCGGACGGGUGAGUAACACGUGGAUAACCUACCUAUAAGACUGGGAUAACUUCGGGAAACCGGAGCUAAUACCGGAUAAUAUUUUGAACCGCAUGGUUCAAAAGUGAAAGACGGUCUUGCUGUCACUUAUAGAUGGAUCCGCGCUGCAUUAGCUAGUUGGUAAGGUAACGGCUUACCAAGGCAACGAUGCAUAGACGACCGGAGAGGGUGGUCGGCCACACUGGAACGGAGCCACGGUCCAGACUCCUACGGGAGGCAGCAGUAGGGAAUCUUCCGCAAAGGGCGAAAGCCUGACGGAGCAACGCCGCGUGAGUGAUGAAGGUCUUCGGAUCGUAAAACUCUGUUAUUAGGGAAGAACAUAUGUGUAAGUAACUGUGCACAUCUUGACGGUACUUAAUCAGAAAGCCACGGCUAACUACGUG
RNAcentral lists this ribosomal RNA (497 nucleotides) under uncultured bacterium. RNAcentral's name for it is "partial 16S ribosomal RNA". It matches the Rfam family "Bacterial small subunit ribosomal RNA", at positions 28 to 507 of the family's 1533-position model. The record is from RNAcentral.